UGGAAAUGAAUCUUUGAAUUUAUUAAACUGAAUAUUUUAUGUGGCUUGAAAACACGAACUUAUUAACCCUGAGCUAA
Small nucleolar RNA from Coregonus clupeaformis (lake whitefish), 77 nucleotides. The record is from RefSeq and is a predicted model, not a curated record. Lineage: Eukaryota; Metazoa; Chordata; Actinopteri; Salmoniformes; Salmonidae.